This 254-nucleotide ribosomal RNA is filed under the name uncultured bacterium. RNAcentral describes it as "partial 16S ribosomal RNA". It matches the Rfam family "Bacterial small subunit ribosomal RNA", at positions 524 to 776 of the family's 1533-position model. The record is from RNAcentral.
UACAGAGGGGGCAAGCGUUGUUCGGAAUUACUGGGCGUAAAGGGCGCGUAGGCGGCCUUCUAAGUCGAACGUGAAAUCCCUGGGCUCAACCCAGGAACUGCGUCCGAUACUGGAAGGCUUGAAUCCGGGAGAGGGAUGCGGAAUUCCAGGUGUAGCGGUGAAAUGCGUAGAUAUCUGGAGGAACACCGGUGGCGAAGGCGGCAUCCUGGACCAACACUGACGCUGAGUGAGCGAAAGCCAGGGGAGCAAACGGG